GAGGGCGGAGCCAGAGAGCAGUGAUUGGUCAGACCAUAGAUAAUAUAGAAGACAGCGCGCUAGCGUAUCUAGUCUAUGUAUAUCUAUGGUCGGCACGUCUGGUAGCAUCUCUGGCUGCUGUUGAUCUUGUUUUUGGAGUAAAACACGGUGGAAGCUGAAUUAGUGAGGAUGACUCCUGCUCCUGUCAUCUCUAAGCUCCUCACACAUCUUUACCUGCACAUGAGGAAAAUCACUCCUGUAGAAUGCAGAUGUUCAGAUGGAGAUGAUGCCACAUCUGGUCCAGCUGAUGGAAGGUCUUGAAGUUCUCUGACUGGCCUCGACUGAAGAUGGUCGUCUCACUGGAUUUAAGGUUCAGAUGCUCAGUAACAAACUCCACCAAUGAGCCAACAGGAAGCUUUAGGUUUAUUAAAUGUUGCUAUGAAGGUAUCGCUGUUUUUCUUUGUGAAUGCAAUGUGCUCCAACUGAAACUUGAAUUAGAACUUAGAAGUAAAUCCUUCCAUCUGAAAGGAUUUAGUUGCAUUAAUAACCUCAUAACAUUCUAAUUUUUAUUCCAGUCUUGGUUGGAAAUAGAAUCUCUGUAUUGAUUCAGGUAAAAACUGAACUUCACAGCAUGUUGGAGCAAAACAACCAGAUGAAAACUGUGAUGGUGUUGGAUUGUCAGACCGUAAUGUUGCAGCGCAAAGCAGCUUUUCUAGCUCAGUUCAUUCUGACAUUCAGCUAUGAAUCAACACAGCAGAUGGUGAUCCAUGCUGUGGAAGUCUCACAUCUCCUGAUUUAAUGGAGCUGCUUUGCACUUUUUACACUGUUUAUUCACCAACACUUUAUUUAAUAAAAGUCCCAUCUAGUUUUUAUGAGGAAUGUGAUGUUUUAAUUUCUCUGUGAAUAACUGCAGUCUAAUGUAACAGCUGGAGUUGUAACAUCUGUCCUGAUAUUGAUCAUGAAGUAUUGAUCAGAAUACUUAUGGUUAGCAGUCAUCCCUGAAGUUUUACAUUAAAAUCUUUACUUGUGUUGUGAACUUUGGUAAGAAACAGAAACGUUAGCGUUGCCAUGGAUACAUGAGUGUUAAAUUCUGUCCAUGUUUCCAUUUUGGGAAAUGCAGUCCAGUUCCAGAAUGUGGAGGAAUUUAGUCUCACAAUCACAGACAACAAAUAUUAUCUGAAAGUUGGGUUAUUGUUGUUUAUCAGCACAAUACAAAGAUUGUUAGAAAUAUUCCAGUUAAGACUCUAGAAUAUCAUGAUUUAUGUAAAUUUACCUCAAUAAUAUGAAUGUUCAGGUUAAGAUUGUGCAGUGAUAUUUAUUAUGCAAGUUUAGCUGAUUAAAGUUUAUGACUCUGCACUAAAAUAUUAUUUAAAUUGACAUCAUUAUUAUAAUAUUUAGGGUCAGACCCUACAGUAUUGAGAUUAAGAAAUCAAAUAUUCUAUAAAAUGUAAAUACACUGAACUCAUUUGGAUAUAUUUAAGUGAGACUCUACAAUAUUAUUUGACACAAAUCUAUCUAAAUCAAAAUUUUAAUAAUUUUCACGCCAAACAUUUACUGGACUGAUUUAAAUAUUAAAAUCACUCCUUUCUAAUCCUCUGCUGUACGUUCAAACCUGAGGCCUUAAAUAGAAACACACAAGUAUCUGAUUGAAGGAACUUCUGCAGAGUCCUGGUUCUAGAACAUGAUGAUAGAAUUAUAGACAAACUUUAACAAAAGCUGCCUGAGAGUUUACAGGUUUUAAUGUUAGAUUUCUUCUGUAAUUUAAUGAGUUAUCAGCAAUAAUCAAGUGUUUAUUUGAUGAACUUCAUUUCCUAAAACAUCCAGAAUUGGAGUUCAUAUCUUUGGCAGCUGUAAAGUUUCUGCUCCUUCAAAGUUCACAACACAAUGAAUUAAUUCCUAAAACACUCUCAGUGCUGGAGAACAUUUGAUGCUGAAGCAGUGACCAGUUUUUCUGUUUCUUCUCUGGAGAUGCACAAUGAGGGACGUCUGCAGAGACUGAGAAAGAGUCUCACCACAUCCUGACAUGAGGAAAAAGACUUUAUUGAAGACUACAAUGAGAAAAACUAUCAGACAGCAGACGGCUGCAUUCAAGGUGAGCUCUGAACAUUUGAUCUGGAACAGGAAUUCAAUAACGGCAGCAUGAGCUUCAUUUCAGUCUGUAGCUGCUGAAUUCAUGGAUGAAUCAUCUGGCACUAGAGAAGAAGACCAUCAAACAUCCACGUCAGCUGAUGGAGGUCCAAGAGUCUCACCCAACAAACAACCUACAGAGUGAAGACCUCAAAUCUGAUUGGACGGCCUCCUAUUCAGCCACAUUUUAGACUGUUAGAUUGUUCCAGAUAAGACAAGUACAAGAUUCUUCAGAGCCGUUCUACCACGAGCCUGACAGGAAGAACUCCAACAGCUACUGAAUGUUCCUGUGGUUCCCUCAAGGCUACAGGAGGAGUCCUACGAGGACGAGCUGGUCCACCUGAUGGUGGCAAGUCGCUGUGGUUCAAAGCCAACACCGACUACGUGGACUUCUACUGGACCACACAGAGGCCUUCAAACCGGACCAACAAGUUCACCGACUCCCCGACUCGUGGGUCUGAGGACGCCGCCGAGCCUCGGUCCAGCCGGCCUCCUGUCUGUGGAUGUUUGAGUGCUGAGAGGUUUGUGGAUGCAUGUGAAUGUGUCUGUGUUGAAACAGCAGCUUUUGACUCAGUAACGCUGGGAAAAACCAAGAGCUCCUUUAUUUUUGACUUCCACUAAAAUACUGAUGAAAAUAAGUUUGCCAGGGUUCUGAUUGAUAAUAGAUUAUUAAAUAAUGAAAAUAAUCAUUUAAAUAUUCCUUUAAACAAUCCUUUUAGGUCUACAUUUCCUUUACACUGACUUCUUGGAAUAUGCACAAGUAUUUUGGGUGGAAUAUACCAUUAAGCCUGAUGUUCAAGGGUUCUUCUGGGAAUAUACCAUUAAACCAACCUUUUAGGUAAAUGUUCCAGGAUGUUGGGUAGAAUAUACCAUCAGAUCAACCUUUUAGGUCUACAUUGGAAGAUUUUAGAGUAGAAUCUUAUUCCAAACCAUCCUUUAGGUCUACAUUUAAGGUGGAAUACUCCUUUACACCAAGAUUUUUUGGUCUACAUUUAAAGAUUUUAGGUGAAAUAUUCCUUUGAACGAACUUUUUAAGUUUAUGUUCAAGGAUGUUGGGUGGUAUAUACCAUCAGACCAACCUCCAAGGUCUACAGUAGUGAAUUUUAGGUGGAAUAUACCAUUAAACUCGCCUUUUAGGUCUACAUUAGAGGAUUUUAGGUGGAAUUUUCUUCCAAACCGUCUUUUAGUCUACAUUUAAGGAUGUUUAGGAUGGUAUAUUCUUCCGAACCAAUUUCUCAGGUCUACAUUUCAGGUGGAAUAUUCCUCCAUACUAACUUUUUUGGUCUGCAUUGAAGGAUUUUUUCUAAACCACACUUUCUGGUCUUUAUUUGAGGAUUUAGGUGGAACAUUCCUUUUAACCAGCCCCUCAGGUCUCUUUGAGGAUUUUGGAUGGAAUACUCGGUUAAACCAACAUUUUAGGUGCAUGUCCAAGGAUUUUUGGUGGAAUGUUCCUUUAAGUUGAAUGUGUGAGGACCUUGUAGGUGGAAUACUUCCUGAAACCAACCUUUUAGGUCAACAUUCAAAGAUUUAAGGUGGAAUAUUCCUUUAAACCAACCUAAAUUUCAUGUUUUGAUCAUUGUCAAAUGAGAAACUUCAAUCCAGACUCUUCAUAAUGACGUUCGAGAUUUAUGCUGCUGUUAUUUGUUUAGUCCAGACUAAAUGACAGAAAUCCACAACUGUAAUUUUAUUUCAGGACUUGGUUAUUAAAUGUCAGAACAAUCCAUGUGACUCGUAAAACUCAACAGCUGUACAAACUCUAAGAUUAAACUCUCCACAAGGAUCCAAAAUAGGUUGGACUUCUACAUGAGAGCCUUAAUUAUUCUUCAUCUACUUCCUGAAAAGGUUGGUCAAUAAAAAAGACAAAAACUAAUAUUUUCAGUUGAACUAAAGACAGACUUUGUGAUUUUUCUGCUCACAUGUUGUGUUGUUGUAAACUUCCUCUUUCAAAUAAA
Amphiprion ocellaris (clown anemonefish) is the source of this 4058-nucleotide long non-coding RNA. RefSeq lists it as uncharacterized. The record is from RefSeq and is a predicted model, not a curated record. The transcript has 4 exons. Lineage: Eukaryota; Metazoa; Chordata; Actinopteri; Pomacentridae.